AUGCGCCAAAAUUCAAACACACCCGCGCUAACGGCAGAGUCUGAGCAAUGGCUGCGGCUAAACAAACAGUCAUCUGCAGUAAGAUGUUUUUCUUAGUGGAAGGAUAACAAAUGUGCCAGUACCUUCACAUAAUAAACGACAAUGAUUUUAUAGACGGGCACGAAGACAGACCGACAUCACUGAGUGGAGUGGAUGAAACGCCUUUGAAUGUGGCAGCGGUGCAGGUAAUGAGUCCCGACAUUCUCAGAAAAUAGAAAUGGAGGCCGAACCUGCAGAUGUGGAUGGCAGUGAUGUGAAUGAUGGAGCAUCUACACAGAAAAGAUGCUGGAAUCCAGAAAUUUCUUCACCUGGGGCCUACUGGGGAUGGCAAUAAACAAAAAACUAACCAAGCUGUGGGAAUACAAACCUGUAGACCUUUAGCUGAACCACUACAAUUGAUGUUCUGUUUCUUAUGCCUGUUCAGUGUUUUGAUCAGUUAUAUAUGUAAUUGUUUCUUUUUUGUCCUGUUUGAUUGUGCAGGUCAGUAACUUUUUUUUUCUAUUUAAAUAAAUUCUGUUUAAAUAAAGAUGCUUCUUUGUGUAACUUUCUGUACCAUUUAACAUUUAAGGCUAAAGGUGUGAAAUGUGCAAUGCACUGCAACUUUGUAGAGUGUCUUACACAUGUCUACAACCUCUAUUUAAAGAUCAAAGAUCACAUAUUAAAAUAUUAAAUAUAUGAUACCAUAUAUUUCAUGCAUAUAUGUCUAAUUUGUAUACAACAUAAUAAAAACAUACAUAUAUCUCACAUAUAUUAAUAAUUAU
Molecule: long non-coding RNA, 800 nt
Organism: Labeo rohita (rohu)
Lineage: Eukaryota; Metazoa; Chordata; Actinopteri; Cypriniformes; Cyprinidae
Exons: 3
Source: RefSeq, a predicted model, not a curated record